GAUGAAGAACGUAGCGAAAUGCGAUACUUGGUGUGAAUUGCAGAAUCCCGUGAACCAUCGAGUCUUUGAACGCAAGUUGCGCCCGAAGCCACUAGGCCGAGGGCACGCCUGCCUGGGCGUCACACGCCGUUGCCCCCCCAUCUACUCCUUCGGGAUUGCGGGGGGGCGGAUGAUGGCCUCCCGUGCGCCUAGCCGCGCGGUUGGCAUAAAUACCAAGUCCUCGGCGACGCACGCCACGACAAUCGGUGGUUGCGAAACCUCGGUUGCCCGUCGUGUGCGUUCGUCGCGCAUCGAGGGCUCGAAAAAUGCUCGGCUCCGGCUGGGCUUUCAACGCGACCCCAGGUCAGGCGGGGUUACCCGCUGAAUUUAAGCAUAUCAAUAAGCGGAGGA
This 390-nucleotide unclassified non-coding RNA is filed under the name soil metagenome. Its description in RNAcentral is "partial contains 5.8S ribosomal RNA, internal transcribed spacer 2, and large subunit ribosomal RNA". The stretch from base 1 to 122 matches the Rfam family "5.8S ribosomal RNA", at positions 35 to 154 of the family's 154-position model. The record is from RNAcentral.